AGGCAUCUCCUAUGGCAUGGGUCUGAAGCACAGAUUUGAGGCUGGUGCCCCCAGUGGCCCCCAACACCAAGCUGUUCUCAAAGCUCGUGGGCAGCGCCUUCACCAUCGCUGUGGUUGGGUUUGCCAUUGCCAUCUCACUGGGGAAGAUCUUCGCCCUGAGGCACGGCUACCGGGUGGACAGCAACCAGGUCUGGGUGAUGCGGGAUGUGUAGGAGGCAUCCAAGUGUAUGGAGGCGCCAGCAACGGGUGGGGGAG
This 255-nucleotide small RNA is filed under the name Pan troglodytes (chimpanzee). RNAcentral describes it as "retained intron". Lineage: Eukaryota; Metazoa; Chordata; Mammalia; Primates; Hominidae. The record is from RNAcentral.